AGCUUGCUGCUUUGCUGACGAGUGGCGGACGGGUGAGUAAUGUCUGGGAAACUGCCUGAUGGAGGGGGAUAACUACUGGAAACGGUAGCUAAUACCGCAUAACGUCGCAAGACCAAAGAGGGGGACCUUAGGGCCUCUUGCCAUCGGAUGUGCCCAGAUGGGAUUAGCUAGUAGGUGGGGUAACGGCUCACCUAGGCGACGAUCCCUAGCUGGUCUGAGAGGAUGACCAGCCACACUGGAACUGAGACACGGUCCAGACUCCUACGGGAGGCAGCAGUGGGGAAUAUUGCACAAUGGGCGCAAGCCUGAUGCAGCCAUGCCGCGUGUAUGAAGAAGGCCUUCGGGUUGUAAAGUACUUUCAGCGGGGAGGAAGGGAGUAAAGUUAAUACCUUUGCUCAUUGACGUUACCCGCAGAAGAAGCACCGGCUAACUCCGUGCCAGCAGCCGCGGUAAUACGGAGGGUGCAAGCGUUAAUCGGAAUUACUGGGCGUAAAGCGCACGCAGGCGGUUUGUUAAGUCAGAUGUGAAAUCCCCGGGCUCAACCUGGGAACUGCAUCUGAUACUGGCAAGCUUGAGUCUCGUAGAGGGGGGUAGAAUUCCAGGUGUAGCGGUGAAAUGCGUAGAGAUCUGGAGGAAUACCGGUGGCGAAGGCGGCCCCCUGGACGAAGACUGACGCUC
This 678-nucleotide ribosomal RNA is filed under the name Enterobacteriaceae bacterium HGB0133. Its description in RNAcentral is "bacterial SSU rRNA". It matches the Rfam family "Bacterial small subunit ribosomal RNA", at positions 77 to 748 of the family's 1533-position model. Lineage: Bacteria; Pseudomonadati; Pseudomonadota; Gammaproteobacteria; Enterobacterales; Enterobacteriaceae. RNAcentral also lists the same sequence under 2 other names. The record is from RNAcentral.